This 220-nucleotide ribosomal RNA is filed under the name uncultured bacterium. RNAcentral's name for it is "partial 16S ribosomal RNA". It matches the Rfam family "Bacterial small subunit ribosomal RNA", at positions 328 to 539 of the family's 1533-position model. The record is from RNAcentral.
ACGCUCGACACCUACGGGAGACAGCAGUGAGGAAUAUUGGUCAAUGGGCGCAGGCCUGAACCAGCCAAGUAGCGUGAAGGAUGACUGCCCCUAUGGGUUGUAAACUUCUUUUAUAUGGGAAUAAAGUUUUCCACGUGUGGAAUUUUGUAUGUACCAUAUGAAUAAGGAUCGGCUAACUCCGUGGCCGGCAGCCGCGGUAAUCUGAGCGGGCUGGCAAGGC